RNAcentral lists this ribosomal RNA (492 nucleotides) under uncultured bacterium. RNAcentral's name for it is "partial 16S ribosomal RNA". It matches the Rfam family "Bacterial small subunit ribosomal RNA", at positions 29 to 507 of the family's 1533-position model. The record is from RNAcentral.
AGUGAACGCUGGCGGUAGGCCUAACACAUGCAAGUCGAACGGCAGCACAGUAAGAGCUUGCUCUUACGGGUGGCGAGUGGCGGACGGGUGAGGAAUACAUCGGAAUCUACUUUUUCGUGGGGGAUAACGUAGGGAAACUUACGCUAAUACCGCAUACGACCUACGGGUGAAAGCAGGGGAUCUUCGGACCUUGCGCGAUUGAAUGAGCCGAUGUCGGAUUAGCUAGUUGGCGGGGUAAAGGCCCACCAAGGCGACGAUCCGUAGCUGGUCUGAGAGGAUGAUCAGCCACAGUGGAACUGAGACACGGUACAGACUCCUACGGGAGGCAGCAGUGGGGAAGAUUGGAAAAGGGGCGCAAGCCUGAUCCAGCCAUAGCGCGUGGGUGAAGAAGGCCUUCGGAUUGUCAAGCCGUUUUGUUGGGAAAGAAAAGCAGCAGGUUAAUACCCCGCUGGUCUGACGGUACCCAAAGAAUAAGCACCGGCUAACUUCGUG